UACGUAGGUGGCAAGCGUUGUCCGGAUUUACUGGGCGUAAAGAGCGCGCAGGCGGUCGUCCAAGUCGCGUGUGAAAGCCCCCGGCUCAACUGGGGAGGGUCACUCGAUACUGAUCGACUCGAAGGCAGGAGAGGGAAGUGGAAUUCCCGGUGUAGUGGUGAAAUGCGUAGAUAUCGGGAGGAACACCAGUGGCGAAGGCGACUUCCUGGCCUGUUCUUGACGCUGAGGCGCGAAAGCUAGGGGAGCAAACGGG
Molecule: ribosomal RNA, 253 nt
Filed under: uncultured bacterium
Lineage: Bacteria
Description: partial 16S ribosomal RNA
Rfam family: Bacterial small subunit ribosomal RNA
Source: RNAcentral